RNAcentral lists this ribosomal RNA (429 nucleotides) under Verrucomicrobiota bacterium. RNAcentral describes it as "Verrucomicrobia bacterium partial 16S ribosomal RNA". It matches the Rfam family "Bacterial small subunit ribosomal RNA", at positions 355 to 776 of the family's 1533-position model. Lineage: Bacteria; Pseudomonadati; Verrucomicrobiota. The record is from RNAcentral.
UAGGGAAUCUUCCGCAAUGGACGAAAGUCUGACGGGGCAACGCCGCGUGAGUGAAGAAGGAGUUCGGUUCGUAAAACUCUGUUGUUAGGGAAGAAAAAAUGUAUAGUAACUAUAAACAAAAGAGACGGUACCUAACCAGAAAGCCACGGCUAACUACGUGCCAGCAGCCGCGGUAAUACGUAGGUGGCAAGCGUUGUCCGGAAUUAUUGGGCGUAAAGCGCGCGCAGGUGGUUUAGCAAGUCUGAUGUGAAAGCCCACGGCUCAACCGUGGAGGGUCAUUGGAAACUAAUAAACAUGAGUGCAGGAGAGAAAGGUGGAAUUCCUAGUGUGGCGGUGAAAUGCAUAGAGAUUAGGAGGAACGCCGGUGGCGAAAGCGGCUUUUUGGCCUGCCACUGACACUGAGGCGCGAAAGCGUGGGGGGCGAACAGG